UACGAGGGGGGCAAGCGUUGUUCGGAAUUACUGGGCGUAAAGGGCUCGUAGGUGGCCAACUAAGUCGGACGUGAAAUCCCUCAGCUUAACUGGGGAACUGCGUCUGAUACUGGAUGGCUUGGAUUCGGGAGAGGGAUGCGGAAUUCCAGGUGUAGCGGUGAAAUGCGUAGAUAUCUGGAGGAACACCGGUGGCGAAGGCGGCAUCCUGGACCGAUAUUGACGCUGAGGAGCGAAAGCCAGGGGAGCAAACGGG
This 253-nucleotide ribosomal RNA is filed under the name uncultured bacterium. RNAcentral's name for it is "partial 16S ribosomal RNA". It matches the Rfam family "Bacterial small subunit ribosomal RNA", at positions 524 to 776 of the family's 1533-position model. The record is from RNAcentral.